This 733-nucleotide ribosomal RNA is filed under the name uncultured fungus. RNAcentral describes it as "eukaryotic LSU rRNA". It matches the Rfam family "Eukaryotic large subunit ribosomal RNA", at positions 24 to 664 of the family's 3401-position model. Lineage: Eukaryota; Fungi. The record is from RNAcentral.
CCCGCUGAACUUAAGCAUAUCAGUAAGCGGAGGAAAAGAAACCAACAGGGAUUCCCUUAGUAACGGCGAGUGAAGCGGGAACAGCUCAAUUUUAAAAUCUCUCGGUGCCCUCCAAGCGCCGAGCGAAUUGUGGUUUUGAGAAGCGUCUUCUGGGCGGGUCCGGCCGCAGGUGUAAGUUCUCUGAAAGGAGACGUCACAGAGGGUGAGAAUCCCGUCUUGUAACCUGCGAUGGGCUCGUUCAUUUUGAUACGUCUUCGUAGAGUCGGAUAGCUUGGGAAUGCUGUCCAAAGUGGGUGGUAAAUACCAUCUAAAGCUAAAUACUGGCGAGAGACCGAUAGCGAACAAGUACCGUGAGGGAAAGAUGAAAAGAACUUUGAAAAGAGAGUUAAAUAGUACGUGAAAUUGUCUAAAGGGAAACGCUUGAAACCAGUCUUGCAAGGUCAGAGAUCAGCCGUCCUUCAUUGGGCGGUGCACUCUCUGGUCGCGCGGGUCAGCAUCGGUUUGUUCUAGGGUAUAAUGCCAUUCGAGGCCGCUCGUCGGUCGAGUUUGGUGAUGCCCUGGGGCGGACCGUGGAUCGCAGCCACGCUGUUGGGGACACCGGUCGCCUCUUGAGAUUUGAGACUCAGAAUGCUUGCAGACUGACCUUGAUACCCUCUUGAGCACGGCCGGGAACCACACCUCAUGGCUUGGGACGCUGGCAUAAUGGUUUUAAACGACCCGUCUUGAAACACGG